UUAUGGUUUGUCCAGUUUUUCAGCAAAGACCAACCCUUGUACCUUUUGCAUCAUGAUUUAGCGAGAAACUACCCAAGCAAAACGCCAAUUUAAGCUUGCCUCCCCGAAACCCAAGCGAGCUACUCACGAGCAGCUAUCUACUGAGCAAACCCGUCUCUGUUGCAAAAGAGUGGGAAGACUCGUUAGUAGAGGUGAAAAGCCAAUCGAGCUGGGUGAUAGCUUUUCAACUUAUCUGGGGCCCUUCAGCCAGCCACCAUUAAAGAAUGCGUCAAAGCUCCUCUCCUAAAAAAUCCAAACUCCCUUUUGACUCCCUCUUCCCCAAUAGGCCAACUUAUAUUAAAUAAGAGAAUUUAUGCUAAAAUAAGUAACUAGGGAUCCCCUCUAUGGCGCAAGCUUACAUUACAACAUUAUUAACAAUCCACAGGAUAUUUUUUAACCUUAACAAGACCUUAUACCCAAAACUCUGUUAACCCACCUAUGGAGCGCCCCCAAAGACGAUUAAAAUCUGUAAAAGGAACUAGGCAAAUCCAAGGCCCGACUGUUUACCAAAAACAUAGCCUUUAGCAAACCAAGUAUUAAAGGUGAAGCCUGCCCAGUGACAAUACGUUCAACGGCCGCGGUAUCCUAACCGUGCAAAGGUAGCGCAAUCAAUUGUCCCAUAAAUCGGGACUUGUAUGAAUGGCUCAACGAGGUCUUAGCUGUCUCCUGCAGAUAAUCAGUGAGAGUA
Molecule: non-coding RNA, 727 nt
Filed under: Manacus vitellinus (golden-collared manakin)
Lineage: Eukaryota; Metazoa; Chordata; Aves; Passeriformes; Pipridae
Description: Bacterial large subunit ribosomal RNA
Rfam family: Bacterial large subunit ribosomal RNA
Source: Rfam by way of RNAcentral